UCUCGGGAGCUUUCCCCGG
RNAcentral lists this small nuclear RNA (19 nucleotides) under Arabidopsis thaliana (thale cress). Its description in RNAcentral is "snRNA_05049". Lineage: Eukaryota; Viridiplantae; Streptophyta; Magnoliopsida; Brassicales; Brassicaceae. The record is from RNAcentral.